AAGUCGUAUAAGGUUGACUUGCAGCACAAGACUUGUUCUUGUAAAGCAUGGCAAUUAGAGAAACUUCCAUGCAAACAUGCAUGUGCAUGUUUGGAGUCAAAAGGAUACUCAGUAUAUGAGUUUGUUGAUCCAUGCUUUCAUAUUGAUACGUACAAACAGGUAUAUCAAUUCACGAUUAACCCAAUUCCCUCGUUUGAUGAGGACUUUGACUUGUACGAUGCGUGUAAUGCUCCGCCCGAUGUCUUUGUUAAUGCACCUGAUUCGAGAACUCGACCGGGACGUAGAAAGACAAAAAGAAUUCCUUCACAAGUGCAAACUCGUAAACUGAAGUGUACUCGGUGUGGGAAGCCUGGACACAAUCGUCGUACUUGCACACAACCAAUCUGACUAGCAAUUUUUUUUAAUGGAGGACAAGAUGGAGGAGAGCUUACAUGAUUGCCCAUUAUGUUAUUCAAGUGAUUGAAGUGAAUGAAAACUGGCUGUUUGUACUUUAUUAUUAUGUGAUUUGCACUAUGUUGUUUUGAACUUUGUACUAUGUUUCAAUUUGCACUAUGUUUUUGCUAUUUGUAGUUUGUACUAUGUAUUAGGUACUCUGUUCAUUGAUGGUUUAUCAUUUUCAGUCUAA
Molecule: non-coding RNA, 625 nt
Organism: Erythranthe guttata (spotted monkey flower)
Lineage: Eukaryota; Viridiplantae; Streptophyta; Magnoliopsida; Lamiales; Phrymaceae
Source: RefSeq, a predicted model, not a curated record